AUAGCUACUUUUGAUACUACAUAAGCGGACAUAGAAACCGGCCAGCCUUUGGUUUCAAGGGAACCUAGUUUAAAAUCAUUCAAAUACUCCCUCAGCACCUCAUCCACUCUCUCUUCCGUUAGGUUCUCAACAUCGCUUAGCACUCCUUUUGCCCAUUCAUUUGUCACAUACUGAACAAGAAGAUCAGCAACAUCGCUUAGCACUCCUUUUGCCCAUUCAUAAAUCACAGUUUAAUAUUAUAAGGGUUGUCAAAUUAUUUUACCUUUAACUUUCCCCAGGAAGAGGAAACAUUAACAAUUCUUGGUGAAUCUGAUAAUUGGAGGAAGG
Molecule: long non-coding RNA, 327 nt
Filed under: Citrus x clementina
Lineage: Eukaryota; Viridiplantae; Streptophyta; Magnoliopsida; Sapindales; Rutaceae
Description: Citrus clementina (C. clementina) long non-coding RNA (CCLE_LNC004720)
Source: RNAcentral